RNAcentral lists this ribosomal RNA (468 nucleotides) under uncultured bacterium. Its description in RNAcentral is "bacterial SSU rRNA". It matches the Rfam family "Bacterial small subunit ribosomal RNA", at positions 29 to 506 of the family's 1533-position model. The record is from RNAcentral.
ACGAACGCUGGCGGCGUGCUUAACACAUGCAAGUCGAACGAUGAAGCCCAGCUUGCUGGGUGGAUUAGUGGCGAACGGGUGAGUAACACGUGAGUAACCUGCCCUUGACUCUGGGAUAAGCGCUGGGAACGGCGUCUAAUACCGGAUACGACCUGCCCCGGCAUCGGGUGUGGGUGGAAAGGUUUUCGGUCAAGGAUGGACUCGCGGCCUAUCAGCUUGUUGGUGAGGUAAUGGCUCACCAAGGCGACGACGGGUAGCCGGCCUGAGAGGGUGACCGGCCACACUGGGACUGAGACACGGCCCAGACUCCUACGGGAGGCAGCAGUGGGGAAUAUUGCACAAUGGGCGAAAGCCUGAUGCAGCAACGCCGCGUGGGGGAUGACGGCCUUCGGGUUGUAAACCUCUUUUAGUAGGGAAGAAGGACUUCGGUUUGACGGUACCUGCAGAAAAAGCACCGGCUAACUACGU